UGGUGGGUAGUUUGACUGGGGCGGUCUCCUCCCAAAGCGUAACGGAGGAGCACGAAGGUUAGCUAAUCCUGGUCGGACAUCAGGAGGUUAGUGCAAUGGCAUAAGCUAGCUUGACUGCGAGCGUGACGGCGCGAGCAGGUGCGAAAGCAGGUCAUAGUGAUCCGGUGGUUCUGAAUGGAAGGGCCAUCGCUCAACGGAUAAAAGGUACUCCGGGGAUAACAGGCUGAUACCGCCCAAGAGUUCAUAUCGACGGCGGUGUUUGGCACCUCGAUGUCGGCUCAUCACAUCCUGGGGCUGAAGUAGGUCCCAAGGGUAUGGCUGUUCGCCAUUUAAAGUGGUACGCGAGCUGGGUUUAGAACGUCGUGAGACAGUUCGGUCCCUAUCUGCCGUGGGCGCUGGAGAAUUGAGGGGGGCUGCUCCUAGUACGAGAGGACCGGAGUGGACGCAUCACUGGUGUUCGG
RNAcentral lists this ribosomal RNA (461 nucleotides) under Klebsiella pneumoniae. RNAcentral's name for it is "partial 23S ribosomal RNA". It matches the Rfam family "Bacterial large subunit ribosomal RNA", at positions 2259 to 2719 of the family's 2925-position model. RNAcentral also lists the same sequence under 1 other name. Lineage: Bacteria; Pseudomonadati; Pseudomonadota; Gammaproteobacteria; Enterobacterales; Enterobacteriaceae. The record is from RNAcentral.